RNAcentral lists this long non-coding RNA (424 nucleotides) under Spirodela polyrhiza (greater duckweed). Its description in RNAcentral is "long non-coding RNA (SPOL_LNC000094)". The record is from RNAcentral. Lineage: Eukaryota; Viridiplantae; Streptophyta; Magnoliopsida; Alismatales; Araceae.
GUCGGAGAAGGAGCUCAACGAAGGAGUUUACUCUAAGCACCGCAAUAUUUGUAGACGUCCAAAGCAGAGAUCCAAUAUCUGUAGACAUGAUCUUCGGUGUAAGGCCUCAUCGAUGGUGGACAGUGUUCCGUGAGAGCACGCGUCUAAGACACGGAAGAACGAGGGAAGUUGAGGCGGCCGUCCGGCUGCCGCAUAUCGGCAGUGAGACCGACCGUCCGCCAGCCCGAGCAGGUGACGAUCCGGUGAGAGUGUUCUUGUGGUUACGCACGUGCCAAUUGGACCCGUUAUUCCUCGCCCACUUCCUUGUUGGGCUGAGCCCAUUUAUUUCAGUUUCUAGCGUUGGUCGUAGAUGGGCCUAACUUGUUGGGCCCAUUAAAGAUGGGAAGCGGACGGAUACCCUAGGCGGACGAUUUGCGGCGGAGGA